RNAcentral lists this transfer RNA (69 nucleotides) under Urocitellus parryii (Arctic ground squirrel). Its description in RNAcentral is "Spermophilus parryii (Arctic ground squirrel) tRNA". It matches the Rfam family "tRNA". Rfam says of the family: Transfer RNA (tRNA) molecules are approximately 80 nucleotides in length. Lineage: Eukaryota; Metazoa; Chordata; Mammalia; Rodentia; Sciuridae. The record is from Rfam by way of RNAcentral. RNAcentral also lists the same sequence under 2 other names.
GGAGUUGUAGCUCAGUGGUAGAGCGCUUGCCUAGCAUGUGUGAGGCACUGGGUUUGAUUCUCAGCACCA